GUAGGUGGCAAGCGUUGUUCGGGAAUUAUUGGGCGUAAAGCGCGCGCAGGUGGUUCUUUAAGUCUGAUGUGAAAGCCCCCGGGCUCAACCGGGGAGGGUCAUUGGAAACUGGGGAACUUGAGUGCAGGAGAGGAAAGUGGAAUUCCACGUGUAGCGGUGAAAUGCGUAGAUAUGUGGAGGAACACCAGUGGCGAAGGCGACUUUCUGGCCUGUAACUGACACUGAGGCGCGAAAGCGUGGGGAGCAAACAGGAUUAGAUACCCUGGUAGUCCACGCCGUAAACGAUGAGUGCUAAGUGUUGGGGGGUUUCCGCCCCUCAGUGCUGCAGCUAACGCAUUAAGCACUCCGCCUGGGGAGUACGGUCGCAAAGACUG
This 374-nucleotide ribosomal RNA is filed under the name uncultured organism. Its description in RNAcentral is "partial 16S ribosomal RNA". It matches the Rfam family "Bacterial small subunit ribosomal RNA", at positions 527 to 896 of the family's 1533-position model. The record is from RNAcentral.